CAGGCUUAACACAUGCAAGUCGAGGGGUAGGUUACUUCGGUAAUUGAGACCGGCGCACGGGUGCGUAACGCGUAUACAAUCUACCUUUACAGAGGGAUAGCCCAGAGUAAAUUUGGAUUAAUACCUCAUAGUAUUUUUGAAUCGCAUGAUUUGAUUAUUAAAGUUCCAACGGUAAAAGAUGAGCAUGCGUCCCAUUAGCUAGUUGGUAAGGUAACGGCUUACCAAGGCUACGAUGGGUAGGGGGUCCUGAGAGGGAGAUCCCCCACACUGGUACUGAGACACGGACCAGACUCCUACGGGAGGCAGCAGUGAGGAAUAUUGGACAAUGGGCGCAAGCCUGAUCCAGCCAUGCCGCGUGCAGGAUGACGGUCCUAUGGAUUGUAAACUGCUUUUGUACAGGAAGAAACACUACUUCGUGAAGUAGCUUGACGGUACUGUAAGAAUAAGGAUCGGCUAACUCCGUG
RNAcentral lists this ribosomal RNA (464 nucleotides) under uncultured bacterium. Its description in RNAcentral is "bacterial SSU rRNA". It matches the Rfam family "Bacterial small subunit ribosomal RNA", at positions 43 to 507 of the family's 1533-position model. The record is from RNAcentral.